RNAcentral lists this microRNA (21 nucleotides) under Schmidtea mediterranea. RNAcentral's name for it is "sme-miR-2168-3p". Lineage: Eukaryota; Metazoa; Platyhelminthes; Tricladida; Dugesiidae. The record is from miRBase by way of RNAcentral.
UCACAACCUUUGACGAAUGAG